UUUUAUUUAUAAAAGUUGUUUUUAAAUUUUGUGGUUGUCAUUUAUUUAGAUGUUUUGUGUUUGAAGUAGACUAUCUGUUUUUCAUAAGCAAAGUGGUGUAGAAGGGGUUCCAUAAUUUGAAAAGGUUACUACUUUCAGCAGUUAGCUGAGUUGGAGUUUACAUUAUUGCUCUUAAUCAACCAAGAAGUGAAUAAGCUAUGGUGAUUGACUGAUUGCAGUCAAUUAGUUUAAUAUAGGAGACAACCGUGAUCCUGUUAAAGUGCAUUCGCUAUUUCCUUAAACACUAAUGCACAACUUUCUGUAACUUCUGUAUACCAAAUUGGGAUCUACCAGCUGAUGUGUUUCGUUUCACUUUUGAACAAGUGUGUGUGUGUGUUUUCAACGCUUUUCUUCUUAACGAACGUUCUUGUUCUUCUAGUCUGAAUAUCGUCAACAGACCAAAUCAAAAUUUGCAUUUAGGUGUGAUUCCAGAAUAUGUGACAGCAAUUUUUUAACUUUGUCCUCAAGAAUUCGACAACUUUAUAGUUGUGAAUUCUUAUUAAGUGAAUGUUCACACACAGUGUCAUUACUGAUAUCAUUCAUAUAGGAAAUAACCGAGAAACAUAAAUUUAUGUUCUAUUAAUCUAUGCAAUACUUUGUGAUAUUCUACAAACAAUAGGUGAUGAUCACCAUCAACUUUAAUACCAGAAACAACUCAAGCGACUCGCCUCAUUCCUCGGCCAGUUGGCGAACUUUACCCAGGAAAAGAAUGGUCCUUUGGCGCUGUGAAACACGAAAAUUUAUUCGGAAAAAGUCCAUCAGUAUAACGAAGCCGUUCGGGCUGAACUACGGAGUUGACCACCCAGAAAUGCGAAUCAUACAUGGGAUUCAAGUAAUUCGUUGGUUGAGGAAUACAUCCGUGGGUGUGUUCACUUUCAGCAAUGCAGCAUGCAAUUUGGGAAGUAUCUUCUCUCAGAUCCGGAUUAUUCUUAUACAUUAACUGCAACAAUAACGCCCACCCAGCUUAUUACUCGGACCAACCGCUUGCCACUCCAAACUCCUUUUUAAUGACCUGGUGAUGGUAACAAAUUUGAUUUCCCAUUGACAUUACACUGGCGUACAAGUUAAUAUUUUUUUUUGUAAAAGGGGAAUUUCGGUUUGUAACCGACAAAGAGUUUUCCUUGUCACAAUGGAAUAGUAAAAAGGCAAUAUUCGUUCCGUUAUUAUUUUAAAAGUUUUAU
Molecule: long non-coding RNA, 1220 nt
Filed under: Daphnia pulicaria
Lineage: Eukaryota; Metazoa; Arthropoda; Branchiopoda; Diplostraca; Daphniidae
Description: uncharacterized LOC124337374, transcript variant X2
Source: RNAcentral